GGCCGCGGGAAUUCGAUUCAGGCCUAACACAUGCAAGUCGAACGCACUCUCGUUAGAUUGAAGAAGCUUGCUUCUGAUUGAUAACAUUUGAGUGAGUGGCGGACGGGUGAGUAACACGUGGGUAACCUGCCCUAAAGUGGGGGAUAACAUUUGGAAACAGAUGCUAAUACCGCAUAAAACCUAGCACCGCAUGGUGCAAGGUUGAAAGAUGGUUUCGGCUAUCACUUUAGGAUGGACCCGCGGUGCAUUAGUUAGUUGGUGAGGUAAAGGCUCACCAAGACCGUGAUGCAUAGCCGACCUGAGAGGGUAAUCGGCCACACUGGGACUGAGACACGGCCCAGACUCCUACGGGAGGCAGCAGUAGGGAAUCUUCCACAAUGGACGAAAGUCUGAUGGAGCAACGCCGCGUGAGUGAAGAAGGUUUUCGGAUCGUAAAAUAAGGGUGUGGAGAAGAACGUAUUUGAUAGUAACUGAUCAGGUAGUGAC
Molecule: ribosomal RNA, 486 nt
Filed under: uncultured bacterium
Lineage: Bacteria
Description: bacterial SSU rRNA
Rfam family: Bacterial small subunit ribosomal RNA
Source: RNAcentral